Molecule: ribosomal RNA, 916 nt
Filed under: uncultured Comamonadaceae bacterium
Lineage: Bacteria; Pseudomonadati; Pseudomonadota; Betaproteobacteria; Burkholderiales; Comamonadaceae
Description: bacterial SSU rRNA
Rfam family: Bacterial small subunit ribosomal RNA
Source: RNAcentral
GCAAGUCGAACGGUAGAGGGGGCAACCCCUUGAGAGUGGCGAACGGGUGAGUAAUAUAUCGGAACGUGCCCAGUCGUGGGGGAUAACGUAGCGAAAGUUACGCUAAUACCGCAUACGAUCUAAGGAUGAAAGCGGGGGACUCGCAAGAGCCUCGCGCGAUUGGAGCGGCCGAUAUCAGAUUAGGUAGUUGGUGGGGUAAAGGCUCACCAAGCCAACGAUCUGUAGCUGGUCUGAGAGGACGACCAGCCACACUGGAACUGAGACACGGUCCAGACUCCUACGGGAGGCAGCAGUGGGGAAUUUUGGACAAUGGACGAAAGUCUGAUCCAGCCAUUCCGCGUGCAGGAUGAAGGCCCUCGGGUUGUAAACUGCUUUUGUACGGAACGAAAAGGUUUCUAUUAAUACUAGGAGCUCAUGACGGUACCGUAAGAAUAAGCACCGGCUAACUACGUGCCAGCAGCCGCGGUAAUACGUAGGGUGCAAGCGUUAAUCGGAAUUACUGGGCGUAAAGCGUGCGCAGGCGGUUAUGUAAGACAGAGGUGAAAUCCCCGGGCUCAACCUGGGAACUGCCUUUGUGACUGCAUAGCUAGAGUACGGUAGAGGGGGAUGGAAUUCCGCGUGUAGCAGUGAAAUGCGUAGAUAUGCGGAGGAACACCGAUGGCGAAGGCAAUCCCCUGGACCUGUACUGACGCUCAUGCACGAAAGCGUGGGGAGCAAACAGGAUUAGAUACCCUGGUAGUCCACGCCCUAAACGAUGUCAACUGGUUGUUGGGUCUUCACUGACUCAGUAACGAAGCUAACGCGUGAAGUUGACCGCCUGGGGAGUACGGCCGCAAGGUUGAGACUCACAGGAAUUGACGGGGACCCGCACAAGCGGUGGAUGAUGUGGUUUAAUUCGAUGCUACGCGAAAAACCU